Non-coding RNA from Equus caballus (horse), 1871 nucleotides. Lineage: Eukaryota; Metazoa; Chordata; Mammalia; Perissodactyla; Equidae. The record is from RefSeq and is a predicted model, not a curated record.
UUGGGUCACAGACUCACUGAAAUCAAGUUCUGUUCUAGCUUUAAAAUUCUCUUGGUCUCUGAUUUUGAUCCUGUCCUCUUUGGUAUUUCCACCAGAGCCUUAAAGACAUGAAAGGCAUUCUGAUCAAAUUUGUGGUUAUUACAAAUCCAAGAGGAAUAACUAAUUGGUUGGAUGACCAUUUCAGAGUGAAAAUUAGAAAGAUGAAAUCUAACAGAGAUAAAAGUAAAUGUUUACAUCGGGUUUAGCAGAGUGAGGGAAAUUUGCCUUGAUGGAAUAAUUCGGUUCCAAUAUAUUUCAUUAUAUUCUGCCCACAGGCAAUGUAUGGUAGCUAGCCAUGGGUAGCAUCUGUUAAAGAUACACCAAAAGACAAUUGUAUUCGGAAGGAGGAGGAGCAGGAUUAGGAGGUAGCAGGUAUAACCUCUCAUACAAAGAACAUUUAAUGCAAUAAUGCAUGCUUAGCUCAGAAAAGAGAAGCUCAGGGAAACUGAAUAGUUGCUCUGGUCCAUAUAUCUCCAUAUGGACGAAAGAUCGGAAAUCCAACAAGUGGGUGGAAGCUUCAGAGGCUAAGCCUAGCAUUCUGAAUUGUCCAACAGAGCAAUCCACAACUUCAAAGAUUAGUCACUCUAAGCAAACAAACAGAGUCUGAAUUUUAAUGGGUGUCGUUCUGUUUGAAGAAAGGCUGGAUUAUAUCACUUACCUACAACAUAUUUUAGUGUUAGAAAUAGCCUUUGAACUGGAGUCUUCUGAUUACCCAUCCCUCAUUGUCUUUAUGACCCAACAUUGCUCCAUCACUCUGUGCCUCCUUAAACUUAUUUCUAGAAUGCAGCAUUCAUAAAAACUAUACCAUCCAUUGUAGUUUGCACUGUGAUUGUCAGAAUCAAACUUCAUGAGAUGAACAUGUGCUCCUAUGCUUUAGAGGGAUAUACAAAAUUAGGAUUUCUUUUAUAGCAAUUUAUUCAUAUUUUUAAAUCACAUUUCAGUUAAGUCGGUGAUUUUUUCUAUUGUUGAUUAUAGGUGGAAAAUGAAUUGAUUUACUAUGUUCAUGAUGAUAGUGAGGAGCUUCUUGACAAUUUCACCAUCUUUGCAAAUAGCUCAGAUCUUGGAAAACAGAGUUUGCCCCAAACUCUUUUUGUGGUUGUUGAAUCAGUGAACGAUGAGGCUCCAGUAAUAACAGUCAGUAAAAUCCUUCAGAAAAUGUAUGCCAACCCCUUCUGUAGACCAGCUCUAUGCAAUAGGACUUCCUGUGAUGAUGAAAAUGUUUUGUAUAUGUGCUGUUCAACACAGUAGCCACUACUCACAUGUGGCUAUGAAGUAUUUGAAAUGUGGCCAGUAUGAUUAAGUCCUUCUGUUGAAAAACAGAGGAUCAAGUUGAACCCUAACAGAUGACGAAACAAGCCCAGGGAGCAGUGGGGAGCCGAAGGUACUGUAACUGGUUGGUUGUAGGGUCUCCUGACUUCUACUCCAAGAAUCCUUUGCUCCUACUUUCUUCUACCCUGUUUUUUUUGGGGGGUUGGGGGGCGGUGGAGCGGGGAGUGGUUAAAUAAACCAUUUAACUAACAAAACAAUGGAUAGGAUUGGCGCUAGUCUAAAACAGUAGAUCUUAAAUGUUAUUUUCUAAGUGGUACAGAAUCUAGACCACCGAGCUACAAAAUGGUGCAGCAGAGCCUCCAUGUCUGGGUGGUGGUUGACACAAAGAGAAAAAGGGCCUUUGGUGAGAGUGGUGGCCAGGCAGGUGACAGCGAGGGACAGGAAGAAAGCAAGGAGAACAGCCGGCAAUAAGGAGCAGUAAGCCUUUGACCUUAAUUUAUAAAAUACCCCUGUGCCAAUUAACUGAUUGCGCAGGCACACCCGGGAGCCCACCUGGGGCUAAG